UACGACUACAUAUCAGGCAUAUCAAUAAGCGGAGGAAAAGAAACUAACUAGGAUUCCCUCAGUAACGGCGAGUGAAGCGGGAAGAGCUCAAAUUUGAAAUCUUCAAGGUUUUACCUUGACGAAUUGUAGUUUAAAGAAGUGUUUUCUGUUGGUGUUUUGGUAAAAGUUCUUUGGAAUAGGACAUCAUAGAGGGUGAGAAUCCCGUAUUUGACCAUUACUUCCAGCGUUGUGAUACACUUUCAAAGAGUCGGAUUGUUUGGGAAUGCAGUCCAAAAUGGGUGGUAAAUUUCAUCUAAAGCUAAAUAUUGGCGAGAGACCGAUAGCGAACAAGUACCGUGAGGGAAAGAUGAAAAGAACUUUGAAAAGAGAGUUAAACAGUACGUGAAAUUGUCAAAAGGGAAGCGUUUGACACCAGUGUUGUUUUCUCGAAAAUCAAUUAAAAAGAGUUGGAUUUUGUAUUGUUAAGACCUUAUCAGCUUACUGUACUUUUUUCUUGCUCUUUUUAAUGCACUUUUCGUUUAACAAGUCAACAUCAAUUUCUUUUGUUGUAAAAGAGUCAUUGGAAGGUGGCUUUCACUUCGGUGAAAGUGUUUAUAGCCUUUGGCUUCUGCAAUCGGAGAGAUUGAGGUCUGCAGCGUAGAUCCUUCGGGGUUAGAUACGUAGAUGCUAAGUUAUAGUUUUUCAUAGACAACUUGUUGACUAUGAUUAAUCAUGUAGCUUACUCGUUUGCGCUAUUUUACCUACGCUUAGGAUGUUGAAUCUGUGCGAGACUAC
Molecule: ribosomal RNA, 774 nt
Filed under: uncultured Neocallimastigales
Lineage: Eukaryota; Fungi; Neocallimastigomycota; Neocallimastigomycetes; Neocallimastigales
Description: partial large subunit ribosomal RNA
Rfam family: Eukaryotic large subunit ribosomal RNA
Source: RNAcentral